GACGAACGCUGGCGGCGUGCUUAACACAUGCAAGUCGAACGGAAAGGCCCUGCUUUUGUGGGGUGCUCGAGUGGCGAACGGGUGAGUAACACGUGAGUAACCUGCCCUUGACUUUGGGAUAACUUCAGGAAACUGGGGCUAAUACCGGAUAGGAGCUCCUGCUGCAUGGUGGGGGUUGGAAAGUUUCGGCGGUUGGGGAUGGACUCGCGGCUUAUCAGCUUGUUGGUGGGGUAGUGGCUUACCAAGGCUUUGACGGGUAGCCGGCCUGAGAGGGUGACCGGCCACAUUGGGACUUAGAUACGGCCCAGACUGCUACGGGAGGCAGCAGUGGGGAAUAUUGCACAAUGGGCGGAAGCCUGAUGCAGCAACGCCGCGUGCGGGAUGACGGCCUUCGGGUUGUAAACCGCUUUCGCCUGUGACGAAGCGUGAGUGACGGUAAUGGGUAAAGAAGCACCGGCUAACUACGUG
RNAcentral lists this ribosomal RNA (468 nucleotides) under uncultured bacterium. RNAcentral's name for it is "partial 16S ribosomal RNA". It matches the Rfam family "Bacterial small subunit ribosomal RNA", at positions 28 to 507 of the family's 1533-position model. The record is from RNAcentral.